This 221-nucleotide long non-coding RNA is filed under the name Manihot esculenta (cassava). RNAcentral describes it as "long non-coding RNA (MESC_LNC011930)". The record is from RNAcentral. Lineage: Eukaryota; Viridiplantae; Streptophyta; Magnoliopsida; Malpighiales; Euphorbiaceae.
UCCCAUGGUUGAUCUUUGAUGUUUUUCCUCCGAUCUUUCAUGUUUUAACAAGCUUUAUGUUGAUUUGAAGAUAUUUGAACAAAAAGAGCAAGUUUUGAAGCUUGGAGACCAAAGAGUUGAUUUCUCCCCAUCUCCGAGCUAGGAUCGUCUCUCCUCUCAUUCUUCAAGAGGUAAGAGUAGAUCCAUAGUUCAUUUCAUGUUUUAAGCAAGUUUUAUGAAGU